Non-coding RNA from Pelobates cultripes (western spadefoot toad), 317 nucleotides. NCBI's taxonomy places the organism in Eukaryota, Metazoa, Chordata, Amphibia, Anura, Pelobatidae. The record is from the annotation of a GenBank genome assembly.
GUGGUUUGGCGUACGUCUAUUCCGAGUUCCAUUUGGAAUCCUUCCUUCGCUGUCUCUAGGAUCCAAUACGUCCAAAUGUCUGUGUAGGUCUUUGUGGUCACGUUAGUCGUCAUGGUCAGUUCUUCUGUUAUUCUGAGUUCCUCCAUUUGGCUGAACCAAGUCUUAAGUGGAGGUGUUAUGUUCUGUUUCCAGUAUUGGGGGAUUACCCGUUUGUCUAUAUUGAGUAUUCGGAUGGUCAUGGAUCGUUUGUACUUAGAGUGUGGUGUAGGAGUGUGGUGUAGGAGUGUGGUGUAGGAGCAUUGCUGCUGGUUCCAAGG